AUACAGAGGGUGCGAGCGUUAAUCGGAAUUACUGGGCGUAAAGCGCGCGUAGGCGGCUUGAUAAGUCGGAUGUGAAAGCCCCGGGCUUAACCUGGGAAUUGCAUUCGAAACUGUCAAGCUAGAGUAUGGUAGAGGGUAGUGGAAUUCCGGGUGUAGCGGUGAAAUGCGUAGAUAUCCGGAGGAACACCAGUGGCGAAGGCGGCUACCUGGACCAAUACUGACGCUCAGGUGCGAAAGCGUGGGGAGCAAACAGGAUUAGAAACCCGAGUAGUCC
This 274-nucleotide ribosomal RNA is filed under the name uncultured bacterium. RNAcentral describes it as "partial 16S ribosomal RNA". It matches the Rfam family "Bacterial small subunit ribosomal RNA", at positions 523 to 796 of the family's 1533-position model. The record is from RNAcentral.